Molecule: ribosomal RNA, 849 nt
Filed under: Russula nigricans
Lineage: Eukaryota; Fungi; Basidiomycota; Agaricomycetes; Russulales; Russulaceae
Description: LSU rRNA
Rfam family: Eukaryotic large subunit ribosomal RNA
Source: RNAcentral
AGUGAAGCGGGAAAAGCUCAAAUUUAAAAUCUGGUGGCCUCUGGUCACCCGAGUUGUAAUUUAGAGAAGCGUCUUCCGCGCUGGACCGUGCACAAGUCUCCUGGAAUGGAGCGUCAUAGAGGGUGAGAAUCCCGUCUUUGGCACGGACGCACCAGGGCUUUUGUGAUGCGCUCUCGAAGAGUCGAGUUGUUUGGGAAUGCAGCUCAAAAUGGGUGGUGAACUCCAUCUAAAGCUAAAUAUUGGCGAGAGACCGAUAGCGAACAAGUACCGUGAGGGAAAGAUGAAAAGCACUUUGGAAAGAGAGUGAAACAGUACGUGAAAUUGUUGAAAGGGAAACGCUUGAAGUCAGUCGCGUCGACCGAGACUCAGCCUUGCCUCGGCUCGGUGUACUUCUCGGCCGACGGGUCAGCAUCAAUUUUGCCCCUCGGAUAAUGGCGAGAGAAAGGUGGCACCCUCUCGGGUGUGUUAUAGUCUCCCGUCGGAUGCGAGGGUCGGGAUUGAGGAACUCGGCACGUACCGUGCUUAGGAUGUUGGCAUAAUGGCUUUAAACGACCCGUCUUGAAACACGGACCAAGGAGUCUAACAUGCCCGCGAGUGUUCGGGUGGAAAACCCGUGCGCGUAAUGAAAGUAAAAGUUGGGACCCCUGUCGUGGGGGGCACCGACGCCCGGACCAGACCUUCUGUGACGGAUCUGCGGUAGAGCGUGCAUGUUGGGACCCGAAAGAUGGUGAACUAUGCCUGAAUAGGGUGAAGCCAGAGGAAACUCUGGUGGAGGCUCGUAGCGAUUCUGACGUGCAAAUCGAUCGUCAAAUUUGGGUAUAGGGGCGAAAGACUAAUCGAACAUCUAGU